Daphnia magna is the source of this 358-nucleotide long non-coding RNA. RefSeq lists it as uncharacterized. The record is from RefSeq and is a predicted model, not a curated record. NCBI's taxonomy places the organism in Eukaryota, Metazoa, Arthropoda, Branchiopoda, Diplostraca, Daphniidae. The transcript is spliced from 3 exons.
CUAUCACGAAGGCAGUUGAAGAUGGUAUUCGUUCAAACAAAAGUUUUUUGGAAAUGGAACACGAAUCUUUCAUUCGAGAAACCAAACUUCAUCUGCGCAAUGCAAAAUCUCGGUUCUGUUCGGCAGAAAUCAACGCACAGCAGGCAAAUGAUGCUUGUGAUUCCAAUUAAAAAGAAGACAAUGAUCAACAUGCAUCAGGCUUCGAUCUCAAGAUGAUCAUCACUCAUGUUCAACAUAGACAUUUACAUUAAGAAAAUUUGUGGAUAAAUCCUUUUUCGUUCGCGUUGUAAUGUGUGAUCUUUUUUGUAGCUGUCUCACAGCAAGUCUAUACAAGGAAUAUAUUUUUUUUUGUAAACAA